GAAGCCGGCAGGCCCAGCCGACUCCAGCGUGCGUGAUGAGGGCGGAGACGUCGCAGCAACUCCGCGGCCUCUUGAGUGGCCACGGAUUCCGCUCAACCGCCGCGAGCAUCGCCGUCGUGAGCGGGCCAUGACCGUGGUGCAUCGCCUUAUAAAACAACAGAGAGAAGAAAAGGGGACUCCAAAUCUCAUCACCUCCCUCACAGAGCCUCUUUCUUCUUGUUUCUCCCAGGGAUAGGCUUUUCCGAACCCCCAACCGGUGCCGUCGGAGAAAGUAGCUGCAGCUUCUCUCCAGAGCGAGAUAACUCUAACCCUUGUUUUAUUUUUACCCGAUGUUAACAAGACUAAAGAAAGAAGAAUCAGAGAUAGAGAGGGGAGAGACGUACCUGGAGUCGUCGGCGUCCAACCCUCAGCCACAGGCACCUCCCGGCUCGGCCGCGGGCCGUGGGAUGCGGGAUGCCGACGCGGCCACGGGCCGCCGAAGCGGCCCCGGGCACGGCCACGGGCACGACUGCAAGCACGGCCACGGGCGUGACCUUGGGCGCCGCAGGCCG
This 551-nucleotide long non-coding RNA is filed under the name Phoenix dactylifera (date palm). Its description in RNAcentral is "long non-coding RNA (PDAC_LNC021305)". Lineage: Eukaryota; Viridiplantae; Streptophyta; Magnoliopsida; Arecales; Arecaceae. The record is from RNAcentral.